GUGGGGAAUCUUGCGCAAUGGACGAAAGUCUGACGCAGCGACGCCGCGUGGGUGAUGAAGGCCUUCGGGUUGUAAAGCCCUGUGGGGAGAGACGAAUAAGUCGUGGCUAACAUCCACGAUGAUGACGGUAUCUCCUUAGCAAGCACCGGCUAACUCUGUGCCAGCAGCCGCGGUAAGACAGAGGGUGCAAACGUUGUUCGGAAUUACUGGGCGUAAAGCGCAUGUAGGCGGCCAAGCAGGUCGGAUGUGAAAUCCCUCGGCUCAACCAAGGAAGUGCAUUCGAAACCGCAUGGCUCGAGUCCCGGAGAGGAAGGUGGAAUUCUCGGUGUAGAGGUGAAAUUCGUAGAUAUCGAGAGGAACACCGGUGGCGAAAGCGGCCUUCUGGACGAGGACUGACGCUGAGAUGCGAAAGCGUGGGGAGCAAACAGGAUUAGAUACCCGAGUAGUCC
RNAcentral lists this ribosomal RNA (449 nucleotides) under uncultured bacterium. Its description in RNAcentral is "bacterial SSU rRNA". It matches the Rfam family "Bacterial small subunit ribosomal RNA", at positions 354 to 796 of the family's 1533-position model. The record is from RNAcentral.